This 460-nucleotide ribosomal RNA is filed under the name uncultured bacterium. Its description in RNAcentral is "SSU rRNA". It matches the Rfam family "Bacterial small subunit ribosomal RNA", at positions 26 to 518 of the family's 1533-position model. The record is from RNAcentral.
AGAAUCAACGCUGGCGGCGUGCCUAACACAUGCAAGUCGAACGAGAAAGUGGUAGCAAUACCAUGAGUAAAGUGGCGCACGGGUGAGUAACACGUGACUAACCUACCCUGGAGUGGGGGAUAACUGGGAGAAAUCCUAGCUAAUACCGCAUAAUACCUACGGGUCAAAGGAGCAAUUCGCUUCAGGAGGGGGUCGCGGCCGAUUAGUUAGUUGGCGGGGUAAUGGCCCACCAAGACGAUGAUCGGUAUCCGGCCUGAGAGGGCGCACGGACACACUGGAACUGAAACACGGUCCAGACUCCUACGGGAGGCAGCAGUGGGGAAUUUUGCGCAAUGGGGGAAACCCUGACGCAGCAACGCCGCGUGGAGGAUGAAGUCCUUCGGGACGUAAACUCCUUUCGAUCGGGACGAUUAUGACGGUACCGAGAGAAGAGCCCGGCUAACUUCGUGCCAGCAGCCGC